This 573-nucleotide long non-coding RNA is filed under the name Pan troglodytes (chimpanzee). RNAcentral describes it as "long non-coding RNA NONPTRT003061". Lineage: Eukaryota; Metazoa; Chordata; Mammalia; Primates; Hominidae. The record is from RNAcentral.
CAGAGGCCCAGGAGAGUUGCAUGCCUUGCGUGAGGUCACACAGCUAACUGCCUGCCUCCCUCCGUUCAUGGCUCCUUCAGUCUUCCCUUCCUGGAGGCAGGAGCUGGCUGGUCCUCACCAGAUUCCCUGUCUCCUCUGGAAGAAAAGCAGGGGCUCUCCCCUCACGGAAAUGUGGCAUUCAGCAAAGCUGGUCGGAGCCUGCAUGGAGACACUGAGGCCCCUGUCAACUGUAGCUCCUGUCCUGGGCCCUCGACAGCAUCACCCUCGAGGCCGGUGCUUCAUCUCCUCCAGCUCCUUUUAAGAAUGAACUUGAUGAAAACACAGACUUUACCUACAAGCCCGGCAGGAGCUCAUGGUCCACACUCACCCGCUUUGGGGCUGACAGGCACUUUCCCAGGGGAGCCUGGGGCCUCCCCUCGACUCUCACCAGGGCCUUCGACCCCUCCAGGAGCCCCCACUCUACCUCUAGCUUCCCCAGGGGCUCCUCAGCCACCUCCUGUGACUCCAGAGCGCUCGUUCUCAGCCUCUGGGGCCCGGAUAGUGUCCAGGUGGCCUCCUCAGACUGCCACCCUC